GCUCAGAGCGAACGCUGGCGGCAGGCCUAAUACAUGCAAGUCGAGCGCGCCCUUCGGGGUGAGCGGCGGACGGGUGAGUAACGCGUGGGAAUAUGCCCUUCUCUAAGGAAUAGCCUCUGGAAACGGAGAGUAAUACCUUAUACGCCCUUUGGGGGAAAGAUUUAUCGGAGAAGGAUUAGCCCGCGUUAGAUUAGGUAGUUGGUGGGGUAAUGGCCUACCAAGCCUACGAUCUAUAGCUGGUUUGAGAGGAUGAUCAGCCACACUGGGACUGAGACACGGCCCAGACUCCUACGGGAGGCAGCAGUAGGGAAUCUUAGACAAUGGGGGCAACCCUGAUCUAGCCAUGCCGCGUGUGUGAUGAAGGCCCUAGGGUCGUAAAGCACUUUCGCCAGAGAUGAUA
Molecule: ribosomal RNA, 400 nt
Filed under: uncultured Alphaproteobacteria bacterium
Lineage: Bacteria; Pseudomonadati; Pseudomonadota; Alphaproteobacteria
Description: bacterial SSU rRNA
Rfam family: Bacterial small subunit ribosomal RNA
Source: RNAcentral